GACGAACGCUGGCGGCGUGCUUAACACAUGCAAGUCGAACGGAAAGGCCCUGCUUUUGUGGGGUGCUCGAGUGGCGAACGGGUGAGUAACACGUGAGUAACCUGCCCUUGACUUUGGGAUAACUUCAGGAAACUGGGGCUAAUACCGGAUAGGAGCUCCUGCUGCAUGGUGGGGGUUGGAAAGUUUCGGCGGUUGGGGAUGGACUCGCGGCUUAUCAGCUUGUUGGUGGGGUAGUGGCUUACCAAGGCUUUGACGGGUAGCCGGCCUGAGGGGGUGACCGGCCACAUGGGGACGGGGAUACGGCCACACCUCCUCCGGGGGGCAGCAGGGGGGAAUUUUGCACAAGGGGGGGAAGCCUGUGGCAGAAACGCCGCGUGGGGGAUGCCGGCCUUGGGGUUGUAAACCGUUUUCGCCUGGGACGAAGGGGGGGUGACGGUAAUGGGUAAAGAAGCACCGGCAAAUUACGU
This 467-nucleotide ribosomal RNA is filed under the name uncultured bacterium. RNAcentral describes it as "partial 16S ribosomal RNA". It matches the Rfam family "Bacterial small subunit ribosomal RNA", at positions 28 to 506 of the family's 1533-position model. The record is from RNAcentral.